Lonsdalea quercina is the source of this 414-nucleotide regulatory RNA element. It matches the Rfam family "cspA thermoregulator". Lineage: Bacteria; Pseudomonadati; Pseudomonadota; Gammaproteobacteria; Enterobacterales; Pectobacteriaceae. The record is from Rfam.
AUCGGUUUGGCAUACAGACCUUAUGUAAAGCAUUUUAGUAAAGCAGUUCUCAGUUCAAGCGUUAUCCUACAUAGAUACCUCUUUUCCGUGAGUCUCCUCCUAAGCGCCUAUAAAUAAAUUCUGCUAACAGACCAUGUUUGUCGCUCUAACGCGACCUCGAAAAUAAAGGAAGUAUUUAUGUCUGAUAAAAUGACUGGUUUAGUAAAAUGGUUCAACGCUGAUAAAGGCUUUGGUUUCAUCACUCCGAGCAAUGGUAGCAAAGACGUGUUCGUUCACUUCUCUGCCAUCCAGGGUGAUAGCUUCAAGACUCUGAACGAAGGCCAGAAAGUUGAAUUCUCCGUUGAAAACGGUGCAAAAGGUCCUUCAGCUGUCAACGUUGUUGCUGAAUAAUCUUUUUAAUGUUGAUGUUGGUUA